RNAcentral lists this long non-coding RNA (324 nucleotides) under Mytilus galloprovincialis (Mediterranean mussel). The record is from RNAcentral. Lineage: Eukaryota; Metazoa; Mollusca; Bivalvia; Mytilida; Mytilidae.
GACUUGUUUUAUUCACCAAUCAAAAUGACUUUUAGAAUACUUAUUUUUAUAAGGACAGUUUCUAUUGGUUAGAUCUCUUUUACCUUAUUCACAUUUUUGCAUUGUUUGGGGUUACUAUUUUUAAUUACUUAAUACUUUGUUUUUACGACCAUUAGGGAAAUCCGAUUAUUUAGUUAGAAAGAAUUCUAGGUGAACAAUAGGGAAGAAUUAGAUAUAUUUGCUAAAGGAAAUACUUCUAAGAGUUUAAGCUGUCAAACCUUAUUUAUAUCGCUAAGUGUCAAAUAAGAAGAAUUUCACAUCUAAUACUUAUAUAUAAAAAGUUAC